Gadus macrocephalus (Pacific cod) is the source of this 1788-nucleotide long non-coding RNA. RefSeq lists it as uncharacterized. The record is from RefSeq and is a predicted model, not a curated record. The transcript has 2 exons. Lineage: Eukaryota; Metazoa; Chordata; Actinopteri; Gadiformes; Gadidae.
UAUAGUCUAUGGUGUAUCCACUUUCUGACCCUGUGUGUCUCUGUCAGAUGGGGACCCUGGUGUUGUGGGGGACACCUGACGUGUCUUUCGCUGUUCCAUUGUGGGUCAUUAUCCUGGCCAUACUGCUGGGACUGCUGGUGCUAGCCAUGCUUACGCUAGUCAUGUGGAAGUGUGGCUUCUUUGAUCGAGCACGACCUCCGGUUGAUGAUGACAUCAGCGACCGGGAGCAGCUCACAUCUGACCAAUCAGCAGAUGCCUGAGACAAGAGCUGCUGAUUGGAGGACUGGACCAUGGGGUGCUUUUACUUUUUUUGACAAAAUUCAGUAAGGGGUCUGCAGGUGGAUCCAAACGUCUUCACCCUCCAUAUCUAUAACUCCUCCAUCCUCCAACCCACCACUGUUUGCACAAAACAAAUGGCCUGGAAGGACAGUUUGAGUAAAGACAGCAGCCCCAGACAACCUGACGAAGGAAUCCAAGCAGAUCCAUAUGGAGCCAGGCAUUCUCUGGAGAUUGAAGAGGCAUGUGUAGCAGACUCUGUGUUAAUUGAUUCUCCAGACUACAAUGAGGAGGAGCUCCGUGGAAGAUGUGGCCGCAAUGAAGACAGAAGGGACAUUGUUCCAAACACAAUGCGAACACACGAGUUGAAUGUUUGAUUUCCCGUAUGGUUUUUUGCUAUGUGCGCCUACAAAAGUGAGUAACAAAGAAAGGGGAAUUGUGUGUGUGCGUGUGUGUGUGCGUGUAUGUGUGUGUGUGUGUGUGUGUGUGUGUGUGUGUGUGUGUGUGUGUGUGUGUGUGUGUGUGUGUGUGUGUGUGUGUGUGUGUGUGCGUGCGUGCGUGCGUGCGUGCGUGCGUGCGUGAGUGCGUGCGUGCGUGCGUGCGUGCGUGCGUGCGUGCGUGCGUGCGUGUGUGUGUGUACAUGUGAGCAUUAUCUCUUCAGUCUGUUUAAAUGUAAUCUCAUUGUAAUUGAAUUAGUUGUACUUGACCAUAUGGAAAAUUACAUCUACACAGACACAAGCACGGGAUUUAAGUAUAUUUAUGAAUGUAUGUGCAAUAUUUGAAGGUUGCGUGAUAGUGAAGCUUGUUUACACUGGCAUUAUUUUAUUAGAGCUUAAUGUUUCCAUUCUUUCUGUAUAUAAUUGAUUGAACGAUAUUAUGUUAGGCAACAUUGCUGCAAGAUUAACUGUUCAAAUAAAAUCUACCCUGACUUACUUUUGGCGAAGAGAAGUAAAGAUAUGAAGCAUGAAGAAAUUGAUUUGCAAUAAGUUACCUUUAUGUUGCCCACAUCUUCAGCAAGGAGCUCACUUGAUCUUCCUUCACAUUUUAGUAUGUGCACAUAUUGUGAAUAUAGGUCAGUCUAUAGGCACAAUAUCCUUUAUGUAUAGCUUUUAAAUUCAUAAUGUUUGUAAAUACUUAACCUUAAAUGUGGGUCGAAUAUUUGGAUGGAUUGUGUUGGAAAUAAACUGCCCUUUGAAUAAUGAUGCUUCAAUGUGGAUAAUGAACGGAGUGUACAUCCCUAAUAUGUCCAUGAUCCCACUUCACAUCACCAACAGGUUAUCUCUUCAGUGUAAAUAUGUGUAUAUUCUGCCACUUACUGGUGUGUGUACGAAAGUGUUUCACCACUGCAAUGACUUCGAGAGUGGUGGCUCAGCCUACCAGCAAAGUAAAUGUUAUAAAUGUAAUCAUGAGACAUAUUCUAUGUCUCAUGAUUACAUUUACACAUACACUCCCUUUUUUUUUUUAAUGUGCAAACAAAUGGAAACAUUGUAAUAAAGAGAUUUCUUCCUCAGA